RNAcentral lists this ribosomal RNA (396 nucleotides) under Triticum aestivum (bread wheat). RNAcentral's name for it is "partial small subunit ribosomal RNA". The record is from RNAcentral. Lineage: Eukaryota; Viridiplantae; Streptophyta; Magnoliopsida; Poales; Poaceae.
AUGGUGGCGGUCGGGACGGAGCGGGGGCGGAAAGCCGUGGGGAGUCCGCCGGCAGGAGGAAGCAGUAUAGGGGCUGAUGAAGCGACGGAUGUGAUCCACCGCCUCCCUAGGUGCUCAUCCGCCUCGGCUCGUGAGGAAGCAGCGGGAGGAGGGAUGAGCUCAACUGGGCGCAUCAGAGAAAGAGGGAAGGAGCGGAUACCAGCCAGGAGGCUGCUCGGCUCAGUCCAGCCAUGGAGCUGGCGCUGCGGAUUCCCUGCUAGCCUCCUUCAUCUUCAUGUGGAUUUAGGUGGCACACUAGAUGUUGCACCACCGAUGGCAGUAGCCAGAUUUGGCGUUCGUGGUGCAAUGGCUUGGUGUUGCCCUUGCUUGAUGGUGCUGGAUAUGUCAAUAAACUGA